RNAcentral lists this transfer RNA (72 nucleotides) under Camelus bactrianus (Bactrian camel). It matches the Rfam family "tRNA". Rfam says of the family: Transfer RNA (tRNA) molecules are approximately 80 nucleotides in length. Their secondary structure includes four short double-helical elements and three loops (D, anti-codon, and T loops). RNAcentral also lists the same sequence under 1 other name. The record is from Rfam by way of RNAcentral. Lineage: Eukaryota; Metazoa; Chordata; Mammalia; Artiodactyla; Camelidae.
GGGCGUAUAGCUCAGGGGUAGAGUGCGUGCCUAGCAAGCGCAAGGUCCUGGGUUCAGUCCUCAGUGCUCCCA